ACAUAACUCGUUGCGGGCUCCGCGCGGUCCCACUUCCCGGCUCCCUUCGCCUCCAGGAUGCGCUGAGCCCUACAACACCCCCAGCGGCCGCCGGCUCCCCCACGAGAUUCUGAGUUUUCAGCACCUGACAGUGGCGGGGGAUGGCAGACACACCUGUGGGUGCUGGAGACAUCUUGGCGGCCCUUCCUCCAGUUUGGCAUCAUAGUCCCCUGUGGGCUGAGCACAUGGGGCUCCUGGACAGUUGUUACCGAUGGAGGGUAUCCAGGUUCUUGACAUCUUGAACAAAGAAUUGGACAAAACGGCACAAACAAAGCAAGAAAAAGAUGAAGCAACAAAAGCAGAUUUAUUGAAAACGAAAGUACACUCCAUAGGGUGGGAGCAGGCCCUGGUUACAGAAUUUUCUGGGGUUUAAAUACCCUCUAGAGGUUUCCCAUUGGUUAUUUGGUGCAUGCCCUAUGUAAAUGAAAGUGACCUGCGAUCAGUCUGAUUGGUUGAGGAAAGCAGCCAACCAGAGGCUGAAGUGAAGUUACAAAGUUACAUCCUAUGCAAAUAUCUGAUUCAUUGUGGAAAGCAACCAAUCAGAGGCUGAAGUGAAAUUACAAAGUUGCACUCCUAUAUAAAUGAAG
Molecule: long non-coding RNA, 626 nt
Filed under: Homo sapiens (human)
Lineage: Eukaryota; Metazoa; Chordata; Mammalia; Primates; Hominidae
Description: non-protein coding lnc-CLUAP1-6:1
Source: RNAcentral